Hydra vulgaris (swiftwater hydra) is the source of this 192-nucleotide long non-coding RNA. RefSeq lists it as uncharacterized. The record is from RefSeq and is a predicted model, not a curated record. NCBI's taxonomy places the organism in Eukaryota, Metazoa, Cnidaria, Hydrozoa, Anthoathecata, Hydridae.
UAGAAAAAAUAAAAGAAAUUUGUUUUUAGUAUUAUAUUGUGGCUAAUGAAGGAGUUAAAAAGUCCUUCCAGUCAGUUGCAACAACAAUUAAAGCAGCAGGAAACAGCCAAGUACACAUGCAAGUGAUUGUUAUGAGGAUUGCAAAAGUUUUAGAUAUCAGAAACUGAAGAAGGCAUUGAUAAUCAGCAGAUA